RNAcentral lists this long non-coding RNA (483 nucleotides) under Mus musculus (house mouse). RNAcentral describes it as "predicted gene 12762". The record is from RNAcentral. Lineage: Eukaryota; Metazoa; Chordata; Mammalia; Rodentia; Muridae.
CCCCUCGCUCCCGGCCCAGUGACUCAGCAUCUCACGCAGCCCAGCACUGCUCUGCAGGCUGUAGGCGUGCGCUCCGGCUUUUCCGCCCACCGCCAGUACAUUCCACUCAGCCCCCCAUGGCAGCCCACGCUCCACGGUCACCCUUGUCGGGCAGGCUCAAAUCAAGGCCUAAUCCGGCCAUAUACUCUUGCCUCAGUUUCCUCAUCUUUAGGACGAGUCCUGAGUUCAAAUCCCAGCAAACACAUCCGUAAGGAGAUCCGACUCCUUCUUCUGGAGUGUCUGAAGACAGCUAGAGUGUACUUACAUAUAGUAAAUAAAUUCUUUAAAAAAAAAAAGUUCUGCUGAAUUGAAUACAUGAAUGAAUGAAAGAAGCAAGCGGAUCUGGCACGAGAAACUCCGCCUCUGCCCUUCAAGUCACUUCCGAACAGAAGCCAGCCAAGGUUCAUCGCAAGUGGCCACACUUGUGUUACAGAGAGGCCAGCA